Molecule: microRNA precursor, 84 nt
Filed under: Bombyx mori (domestic silkworm)
Lineage: Eukaryota; Metazoa; Arthropoda; Insecta; Lepidoptera; Bombycidae
Description: mir-2807 microRNA precursor family
Rfam family: mir-2807 microRNA precursor family
Source: Rfam by way of RNAcentral
UUAACUCAAAUUUGUAUGGAGUUGGAAUGUUUGCCUACGUUGGCCGGAAAGGGCGCUGUUCCAACUGCAUAAAAAUGUAUGUUA